RNAcentral lists this ribosomal RNA (459 nucleotides) under uncultured bacterium. Its description in RNAcentral is "partial 16S ribosomal RNA". It matches the Rfam family "Bacterial small subunit ribosomal RNA", at positions 338 to 795 of the family's 1533-position model. The record is from RNAcentral.
CCUACGGGGGGCAGCAGUGAGGAAUAUUGGUCAAUGGGCGCGAGCCUGAACCAGCCAAGUAGCGUGAAGGAUGACUGCCCUACGGGUUGUAAACUUCUUUUAUAAAGGAAUAAAGUGAGGCACGUGUGCCUUUUUGUUUGUACUUUAUGAAUAAGGAUCGGCUCACUCCGUGCCAGCAGCCGCGGUAAUACGGAGGAUCCGAGCGUUAUCCGGAUUUAUUGGGUUUAACGGGUGCGUAGGCGGGAUGCCAAGUCAGCGGUAAAAAUGCGGUGCUCAACGCCGUCGAGCCGUUGAAACUGGGGUUCUUGAGUGAGCGAGAAGUAUGCGGAAUGCGUGGUGUAGCGGUGAAAUGCAUAGAUAUCACGCAGAACUCCGAUGGCGAAGGCAGCAUACCGGCGCCCUACUGACGCUGAGGCACGAAAGCGUGGGGAUCGAACAGGAUUAGAUACCCUAGUAGUC